UUGGAGGGCAAGUCUGGUGCCAGCAGCCGCGGUAAUUCCAGCUCCAAUAGCGUAUAUUAAAGUUGUUGCAGUUAAAAAGCUCGUAGUUGAAUCUCGGGGACAGUAGGUUGGUCAUGCCACUGGUAUGUACUGGUCUCACUGAUUCCUCCUUCCUGAUGAGCCGUAAUGCCAUUAAUUUGGUGUUGCGAGGAAUCUGGACUGUUACUUUGAAAAAAUUAGAGUGUUUAAAGCAGGCUAACGCUUGAAUACAUUAGCAUGGAAUAAUGAAAUAGGACGUUCGAUCUUAUUUUGUUGGUUUCUAAGAUUGACGUAAUGAUUAAUAGGGAUAGUUGGGGGCAUUAGUAUUCAAUUGUCAGAGGUGAAAUUCUUGGAUUUAUUGAAGACUAACUACUGCGAAAGCAUUUGCCAAGGAUGUUUUCAUUAAUCAAGAACGAAAGUUAGGGGAUCGAAGACGAUCAGAUACCGUCGUAGUCUUAACCAUAAACUAUGCCGACUAGGGAUCGGAUGAUGUUAAUUUUUUAAUGACUCAUUCGGCACCUUACGGGAAAC
This 549-nucleotide ribosomal RNA is filed under the name uncultured Glomus. RNAcentral's name for it is "SSU rRNA". It matches the Rfam family "Eukaryotic small subunit ribosomal RNA", at positions 548 to 1098 of the family's 1831-position model. The record is from RNAcentral. Lineage: Eukaryota; Fungi; Glomeromycota; Glomeromycetes; Glomerales; Glomeraceae.